AGGAGGUAGUGGUGGUUUAGUGGAUUUUAGUGGACUAAUGAUUGGUUGAGAUUGAAGGCCCAUCUUGCUCAUUAAUACUUUAGCAAGAGCAGCUGAAGAAGAGCCAUCUCCAGUUUUUCUUGUGGGUCCAUAUUUAUUUUUAUUCAUAUCCCUUUCCCUUUCUCUCUCCUUUUCUCUUUCUCUCUCCCUUUCUCUCUCCUUCUCUCUUUCCCUUUCUCUUUCUCUCUCCUUCUCUCUUUCCCUUUCUCUUUCUCUCUCCUUCUCUCUUUCUCUUUCUCUUUCCCUUUCCCUUUCUCUUUCUCUUUCUCUUUCUCUUUCUCUUUCUCUUUCGUUAUCAUCAUCAUCAUCAUCAUCUGGAUUAUUAUCUUGAUCUUUUUCUUUUUGUUUCAAGAAGCUUAAAAGCUUGUCAGAAAGUCCAGUUUUAUCAA
Molecule: non-coding RNA, 428 nt
Filed under: Cryptosporidium parvum
Lineage: Eukaryota; Apicomplexa; Conoidasida; Eucoccidiorida; Cryptosporidiidae
Source: RNAcentral